Molecule: ribosomal RNA, 441 nt
Filed under: uncultured bacterium
Lineage: Bacteria
Description: partial 16S ribosomal RNA
Rfam family: Bacterial small subunit ribosomal RNA
Source: RNAcentral
CUACGGGCUGCUGCAGUCGGGGAUAUUGCACAAUGGAGGAAACUCUGAUGCAGCGACGCCGCGUGAACGAAGAAGGCCUUCGGGUCGUAAAGUUCUGAUGUGAGAGAAGAAGAUAGUGACGGUAUCUCACCAACAAGCACCGGCUAACUACGUGCCAGCAGCCGCGGUAAUACGUAGGGUGCAAGCGUUGUCCGGAAUUACUGGGCGUAAAGGGAGCGUAGGUGGUUAUAUAAGUCUUUAGUAAAAGGCAUUGGCUCAACCAAUGUAGGCUAGAGAAACUAUAUAACUUGAGUACAGUAGAGGUAAGUGGAAUUCCUAGUGUAGCGGUGAAAUGCGUAGAUAUUAGGAGGAACACCAGUGGCGAAGGCGACUUACUGGGCUGUAACUGACACUGAGGCUCGAAAGCGUGGGGAGCAAACAGGAUUAGAUACCCGAGUAGUC